CAUUUCCCAGCAGUCCCCAAAUGGCUGUUUCUGUGGGGACACAGCAGCUGCCUCAUUUCCCUUCAGGCCCCAUGGGUUGCUGGUCAACCUCAGGAUCUACUAAAGAUGAUGCAAAUGCCGACUGAACAAUCUGAAACCCAAAGGACUCGAGGAGAGACAUGUUCUGCUGAGGAGAGAAAGGGCCAAGCAGCCAAAGUACAGGGAUUGAAAGCAACUCUAUACUACUCAGUCGGCUGGGUGUCCCCACCCUAGGCCCCAGACAAGCUGGGCCAAGAGACAACCCUGGCUGCUCUGCCUUGCCCGGCCCACACUGGAGUCCUCCACCAAUCAGCAGCUUCCUGCCUGGGUCCAGAGAGCCAUGCCGGGAAGGGAGGUCUGUGAUGGGAGCAUGGAGCAUGCCAUCUCUGCUGUUUCUACCAUCUGCCAAGCCCCUGGCCUCGUCCCCAAGGCAACAACAAUGUGACAUACCACAAAACAACCUGAAUCAACAAGUGAAGGUGGGCCUGGGGAGCUUUCUGCAAACCAACUCCCAAGUCAGAGGAGUCAGAUAGCUCAUUAUUGACAUGCAUCUCACAACCAUAGCCAGAGGCUCUCCAGAAAGGGCCACUCACAGUAACUAACCACCCCUAUUGUGAGAGAAGCCAGACAUUGGCUCCCACCGGCCCACUGGGUCAAAAGAGGAGAAAGCAUUCAGCCGCAGCUCCACACCAUCCUAAAGGGCAGCAGGCAGUGACAGGCCCAUAGUGACUCAUCAUGCAGGGUUCUUCUUCUGCCCAGGGCCCGGGGCAUCCCUGCAGGGCUCCAGACAGUGGGGGCUGGCCAGGAGGAAGGGAGGAGGGCUGGGGAAGAGGAGGCGGAGGCUGGAUCUCGGCAGUGCCCUAAAGCCUCACUCACUGCCCUGGAGUGAGAUACCCACUGUGACUUUUGUCCUAGAGGCCACUGCCACUCAGAUCUCUGAGUCUCCUCAAGGCAGCCAGAAAACUGGCAGCCUUCCCGCCUCCCCACACCCAGCCCAGCGCCCCCACAACACAGUCUGCGCAGAGAAGCAAAGUGCAGAGCAAGGGAUCGCUUGCCUUUGUUGCCAUAGGUCCUGGCGCAGUGGAACGCUGCUCCCCCAUUCAGGAUGGGCUCCUGGUGCCUGGAGACCUGGGGAAGGGGAACACCGUGGUGGGUUUUAACAUGGACCUUUAAGUAGGAGGCAGAGGAGAAACCUAAACAAGACAAAAGGAGAUGAGAUCCCGCGGCCAGCAAGAGAUACCUCUCUCCUUCCCCCACUCCUCUCCUCUGGCCGCUCUGGCUAGCAUUCCCAGGUCAGCUGCACCUAGAAGGGGCCCCCUCCUGGCUCAAAAAUGGCUGCAACCACAUGAGCCAUGUGACUCACGAUGGAGGGUGGCACUGUCCACAAAUUGGCUUCUCUGCAGAGCCCACUCUGCAAGGCUGCAGUGAGGGGCCGAGGCUGGCCGCCUGAUGGAAUGGCCUGAGAUCCUGCUCCUGCUAGGGCCAGAGGCCAACUGCCUCUAGGGUUGCUUGGUGCCUCAGUAACAGGUGGUUUAAGUGGAUGUCUCCUGUAGGAACCAUGACUAGAAAUGUGGUUAGACAAGAAUUUGGGGCUCCAGGGAAGCCACAGGAUUCUAGCCAGCAGGAUGCCUGCUUAAUCCUUGUAAAAGGAACUGGACAACAAGCGAGAUGGAGGUAAAAUGAAAUCCCAAAGGAACGCCUCCAAGGAUCCCGUCUUCUACCUGUCAGGAGAUGUUCUAUUUUUCUAACUUCCCCACCUUCAGCAUAACAGGAUUUAGUAACUGUUUAGACCUUUUGAAGAACAAAGACAAAAAUAGGAAGUUGUGUCAGAGGAGUGCAGUCAUCUCUUAUUCAUGGUAGUGUUUUGGUUCGAUUUUGGAGCAUCCACCAGGUUUGCAUACAGGAGAAGAAACAGGGAUGAUCUCUGUCUUUAUUUUGGGGGAGGACAAUCCGGCCUUCUUGGGACUGUUCCAGCCCACCUCCCAGAUGCUUCGGUCAGUCUGAGCCACGAGAUAUCUCAGGCUGGGAUGAACAGAUCUUGGGCCAACUUCCAUAGCAGCCAUGUGUCCAAGGAUACAGAAUCAGGCAGGCUGAUAAAAGGAUUUUGACUUGGGUUUCACAGGAAGGAGGUAUGCCAUCAAACCCCACUGUAGUCAAGGAUCAGAAGGUGCUUUUAGCAGGAACUGAAGCUUUUUAGUAUAAGGCCCACUUAGGGUGCCAGCACCCUGACAGUGUCCCUUUAAUCCACUUCAGAUCGGGUUGACUCAUUAUCAGGUGUUUCCAUUCACUUUCAAAAUUACACAGUCACAGGAUAACAGUGAGAUCCACUGCUAAAGGGUAAAGGGUCAGAGGCUGAAGAGUACUGUGUAAUGUCUGCAUGAGAUUUGUUUUAAGAGAGUCUGAAUUGGCAUGGCAUUUUGAAUGCUGCUGGAACUGUAAUAAAGGUUCACCUUUAGCAAGUGCUGAUGGCACAUCAGGGCCCAGCACACUGCAUGCACUAUUCUACA
Long non-coding RNA from Symphalangus syndactylus (siamang), 2525 nucleotides. RefSeq lists it as uncharacterized. The record is from RefSeq and is a predicted model, not a curated record. Lineage: Eukaryota; Metazoa; Chordata; Mammalia; Primates; Hylobatidae.